RNAcentral lists this long non-coding RNA (642 nucleotides) under Daucus carota (carrot). Its description in RNAcentral is "long non-coding RNA (DCAR_LNC002252)". The record is from RNAcentral. Lineage: Eukaryota; Viridiplantae; Streptophyta; Magnoliopsida; Apiales; Apiaceae.
AAGAAUGAAGAUUAAGAGAGCGUUAUGAAUAUAAUAGCCGGUACAUAUUUGGCAUUCAUUCAUUCAUAACUCACACACUCAAGAGCACUUGCAGUUUUUCUCAAAACUCACAAAAGAUUAGCUAACUUAUUUUCACAUCAAAUGUAAAUUGGGGGAUUGGGGAACACCCUCGCAUUCUUCUCUUUACAAGUCAUUGUUGAUCGGCAGUUCAAGCAAAAAACUAGUUCCAAAAUUUGGUGUCGUCCAUGAAAAUUAUAAGCAAGCCCUUGAGAAACCAAAACACCAAACCAGAAUAAUCAUGCUUACAUGUGAUAUCAAAUCUCCCUUAACCCAACCGGUCUGACUUGUCCCAAAACCUCCCCUCCCGCGAUCACCCCUUGUGAUUGGACUUCAGUGAGAGGGCAAAAGAAGGACUUGUGCCGAUCUUUAAAGGACAAUGAUUGAUGUUGCACAAGUGGAGAUAUAAGAUGGCAACAAAGUCCAAAGAGAACGAGAAGGAACGGGAGAAAGAGAAGCAAUCGUCCAACCUGGCCGAAUGAAAAUUGGCUCUUAACGUGAAGAAGUGAGAGGCCGAUGGACUAAGGCUGAAGACCCUCCAACUGCAAAGGGAGAAGAUAGAGGCGUUGGGAGGACCAUGACGAG